GGGGAUAUAGUUCAGUGGUAGAACACUGGCCUAGCAUGCAAAAGGCCCUGGGUUCAAUACCCAACAUCACAA
RNAcentral lists this transfer RNA (72 nucleotides) under Heterocephalus glaber (naked mole-rat). It matches the Rfam family "tRNA". Rfam says of the family: Transfer RNA (tRNA) molecules are approximately 80 nucleotides in length. The record is from Rfam by way of RNAcentral. Lineage: Eukaryota; Metazoa; Chordata; Mammalia; Rodentia; Bathyergidae.